UUUUAACACGUCACUUCAUAAAAUGUCACCUAUGCAAUGAGUAGAGAAUAAUCUUAAUGUUUAGAGCCUAGAUUCUAAGACAAUCACAAUAAAGUAUCAUACAUAAUUCAAAAUAUACGAUAACCGAUACUACACCAUAUGACCAAAACAUAUUUACAAAUUCGAGAUACAUAGACAAGACAUUGUUCACUGAGGAGGAGCAAAUAGCUUUUUAUUACAAGAGGUGGCUACAGAGGAGAAUGGGCUUUAAGUCUGCUCUCGUCUUGGUGGAAUUCGGACGGAGGAUCUUGUCCAAAGUUGAAACAGCUUCCGCAACGUGUUUCCCUUUGUUCAGCAUGACACAGCUUACCCUCCGUCCAUUGGCUGCAUCAGUGAUCUCUGCUCUGGUGGGCAUACCAGAUUUCACAAGCGACUCCAAGACCUGAGUUGCCCAUAUGACUGGUAUGUGUGCAGCGUCACAGAGAGAGAGAAUUUCUUCCUGCAUAUCAGCCAACCUUUCCCACCCACAUUCCACUGCGAGAUCUCCUCUAGCAAUCAUGACCCCCAAGGGAUUUGAGGACUUCAUUGCCUCUAACAGCAUUAAAGGCAAUUUCUCAAACCCACUCUUUGUCUCUAUCUUGAGAACAAUUCCUAGUUUUGGAAGUUUCCUCUUCUCUAAUUCUUGGCGGAGCACAACAAUAUCACGAGUGUCACGGACAAAAGAAACACCUACCAUGUCAGCAUGAGUAGCAACAAAUUCAAGAUCCAUAACAUCCUUGGAAGUAAAUCCCUCAAAGUGAAUAUUGCUCUGUGGGAUGUUAAUGGAUUUCUCAGACCCAAGUUUCGUGCCUUUGGGACCAGCAUGAGUGAUUGAGACAAUAAUCUCGGAUAUACCAAUUCCUUGGAUAACCCCCCAUAUCUUUCCAUCAUCAAAGGCAAUGGGUUCACCAGGUUUCACUGAAUCAAACAGGUACCCUGAGGAACAUGUAACCCUAUGAGCACCACUGGUGGACGCGGACAAUUCAUCUUCUCCGGAAGAACUACCUCGUGAUAUGAUUAACAAAUCUCCAACUCUCAGUCUGAUAGAUCGUUCGGUAGCUGGGACAUCUACCACUUGUCCAACAGGAAACCUGCCUUUCUUUCCCUUCAUAUACAAUCGGGUUCCUGACUGAACAUAAGCAGUCCUACUACACUCAGCCACAUAUCCAGUACCAGAAAAAACAUGAAAUUUUCUAGAAAUCUUGAGUCUCCUUUUUUUCCCUCUAGCAUCACAAAAUCUUAAAGUGUCAUCCACCUCCAGCUUAGUAAGAAAUUCUUGAUCAUCUACAAAUAUUACUGCAUCAAGAGACAAAUGAGGAGGAGGAGGACCUGCUUCUCUGUGAGUCAGCCAAACUUGAGCAGGCAAGAUUACAUUUCCAGCUGCAGUUUUUUUGGGAGAGAAUUUCAUUACAGCUGGACCAGGCUUCAGCUUUCCAGUUCGGAGCUUUGGUCCAGCUAAAUCCAUGAGAAUCCGACAAGGUGUUUCUAGCAUUUGAGAACUUUUCCUUACUCUGGUGAUAAUUUCACUCCAAAUACUAGGAUUUCCAUGUGCACAAUUGAUUCGAAUAAUGGACAUCCCUGCCUUGAUUAGAUCAGUAAUAAAUGUUUCACUUUCAAUAGCUUCCUCGCCAAUUGUUACCAUAAUAUGAGUAGUUCUACUAUCUUGUGGUGGGCCCAACAAUAACUCUCUAUUAAAAUAUGCCUUCUUCCUUAUUGUCUGUAUUGUAAACGCUGAAUACUUCUGUUGGUCAAAUCCUUUCUGAGAAAAUAGUCCUCCAAUGAUAUGUUCUUCAGGGUUUAGGGAGGUAGAUUUCAAGUUCUCCAAUAUUUGAAUGCUUGCAGUAAGACUUGCAAGGACAUGAGAAUUGGCAGUCUCCAAAUUCAUGAGACCAAUCAAAGAAAGAUCAUCUUUAAGCUGCUCAACAUCAAGGCAUCUCAAUGCCAGAUAAUGUAUCAAGUUUGUUGCACUAACCAAGUAAUUUCUGUGACACAAUUGGAGUUGGGAAGCAUUCCAUUGUUCUGAUGCUAAGACAUGCAAUUGGAUAGCCUUUAUUUUGUCAAGAAGGCUUCCUUGUUUUCCCAGAAGCUCAACUGUAUGAGCAAGGUCAGCUUCCGAGUAUGAAAGAGAAGAAACAACUUCUGCAUCUGAAUGAUUGGAAAUCUCAUUGUCUUCCAAAGGCAAAUGCAUUUGAUCAUCAGCACAACCAUAAAAACUGCCACUUUCCAAUUGAUCGCUUUCAUUUGGAAUGGCAAAAGUUAAAGUUCUUAUUGUUGAAUUCCUCCUAUGAACAGCUAAUAAUCGAAUAAUGCAACUUGGAUGCCUUCUUUGAAGUCUGCAUGGCAAGUUUGUAGGCUUGACCUUCAGAUUUGACAAUGCAAAUCCUAAGAAAUCAACUGAUUGAAUCACCAAAUUCUCCUUGAGCUAGUAAGACCCACCACAAUAGAAGUCCAGUAAAUCUUGAAAACAAGGCUGUUAUCUAAAGAAGAUAAAGUUACGUCAAGGAGCAUCUUGAAACAUGUUUGGUAUAGAACAUGUGAAAAUAAGACAUUCAUUUCACAGGCCACUUUAGCAAACAGUUAUAAAAAAUUGCAAAGAAUUACCCAGUCAAAGAUAUUAGCAAAUAUGAUUAUCCAAACAGAGUCAUUAACCACAGAAAACUAUCCAAUAAAUCAUGCUUUUCAGAGAUGCUAAGAAGCAAUUUAUAAUCCAAAUAACAACUAUCAAAGUAUAAAGCGUAUUGCAGAAGAGCGAAUUACAUGGUGUAGUUUCGCGCCCUGAUUUGUGACAGCAGGAACUGAAAGUGAGUUGAGCAUCAUCUACGCCUCUAACAUAAAACAGGCAAAUACAAGACCUAUUUUAUUGUAGGAGAGAGGGUGAGAGAGUAUCUGUAUGGAAAUGUGUUUUCUUCGUUUCGGCUAUGGAUAGAAAGACCAGAAAUAGGGGAGUGUGGAG
This 2971-nucleotide unclassified non-coding RNA is filed under the name Hevea brasiliensis (rubber tree). Lineage: Eukaryota; Viridiplantae; Streptophyta; Magnoliopsida; Malpighiales; Euphorbiaceae. The record is from RNAcentral.